This 495-nucleotide ribosomal RNA is filed under the name uncultured bacterium. RNAcentral's name for it is "partial 16S ribosomal RNA". It matches the Rfam family "Bacterial small subunit ribosomal RNA", at positions 28 to 507 of the family's 1533-position model. The record is from RNAcentral.
GACGAACGCUGGCGGCGUGCCUAAUACAUGCAAGUAGAACGCUGAAGGAGGAGCUUGCUUCUCUGGAUGAGUUGCGAACGGGUGAGUAACGCGUAGGUAACCUGCCUGGUAGCGGGGGAUAACUAUUGGAAACGAUAGCUAAUACCGCAUAAGAGUAGAUGUUGCAUGACAUUUGCUUAAAAGGUGCAAUUGCAUCACUACCAGAUGGACCUGCGUUGUAUUAGCUAGUUGGUGGGGUAACGGCUCACCAAGGCGACGAUACAUAGCCGACCUGAGAGGGUGAUCGGCCACACUGGGACUGAGACACGGCCCAGACUCCUACGGGAGGCAGCAGUAGGGAAUCUUCGGCAAUGGACGGAAGUCUGACCGAGCAACGCCGCGUGAGUGAAGAAGGUUGUCGGAUCGUAAAGCUCUGUUGUAAGAGAAGAACGAGUGUGAGAGUGGAAAGUUCACACUGUGACGGUAUCUGACCAGAAAGGGACGGCUAACUACGUG